GAGCCGAUGGACUGGAGAGCCACAACCGACGCCGACGAUUGCGUGGAGGCCGCGAAAAGGCUCUUCUUGCAUGCAACACAUCAGAAAGCAAAAAAAAUGUCAACUACACAAAGAAGCAAGUACUGGGAGAGAGAAUUUGGGUGAGAAGCUAGAGAAAUUGAAAAAACCUUGGGAGAAAACUACAAAUCCACCUGUGACAGAGACAUGUCAACAACACAAAGAAGCAACGGGAGAGAGGAUUUGGGUUAGAAGCUAGAGAAAUUGAAAAAACCUUGGGAGAAAACUACAAAUCCACCAGUGACAGAGACAUGUCAACAACACAAAGAAGCAACGGGAGAGAGG
RNAcentral lists this long non-coding RNA (342 nucleotides) under Manihot esculenta (cassava). RNAcentral's name for it is "long non-coding RNA (MESC_LNC006555)". The record is from RNAcentral. Lineage: Eukaryota; Viridiplantae; Streptophyta; Magnoliopsida; Malpighiales; Euphorbiaceae.